This 497-nucleotide ribosomal RNA is filed under the name uncultured bacterium. Its description in RNAcentral is "partial 16S ribosomal RNA". It matches the Rfam family "Bacterial small subunit ribosomal RNA", at positions 28 to 507 of the family's 1533-position model. The record is from RNAcentral.
GAUGAACGCUGGCGGCGUGCCUAAUACAUGCAAGUCGAGCGAACAGACGAGGAGCUUGCUCCUCUGACGUUAGCGGCGGACGGGUGAGUAACACGUGGAUAACCUACCUAUAAGACUGGGAUAACUUCGGGAGACCGGAGCUAAUACCGGAUAAUAUAUUGAACCGCAUGGUUCAAUAGUGAAAGACGGUUUUGCUGUCACUUAUAGAUGGAUCCGCGCCGCAUUAGCUAGUUGGUAAGGUAACGGCUUACCAAGGCAACGAUGCGUAGCCGACCUGAGAGGGUGAUCGGCCACACUGGAACUGAGACACGGUCCAGACUCCUACGGGAGGCAGCAGUAGGGAAUCUUCCGCAAUGGGCGAAAGCUUGACGGAGCAACGCCGCGUGAGUGAUGAAGGUCUUCGGAUCGUAAAACUCUGUUAUUAGGGAAGAACAAAUGUGUAAGUAACUAUGCACGUCUUGACGGUACCUAAUCAGAAAGCCACGGCUAACUACGUG